Molecule: ribosomal RNA, 969 nt
Filed under: Ganoderma sp.
Lineage: Eukaryota; Fungi; Basidiomycota; Agaricomycetes; Polyporales; Polyporaceae
Description: eukaryotic LSU rRNA
Rfam family: Eukaryotic large subunit ribosomal RNA
Source: RNAcentral
AAAAUUUAAAAUCUGGCGGCCUUUGGCCGUCCGAGUUGUAGUCUGGAGAAGUGCUUUCCGCGCUGGACCGUGUAUAAGUCUYUUGGAACAGAGCGUCAUAGAGGGUGAGAAUCCCGUCUUUGACACGGACUACCAGUGCUUUGUGAUGCGCUCUCGAAGAGUCGAGUUGUUUGGGAAUGCAGCUCAAAAUGGGUGGUGAAUUCCAUCUAAAGCUAAAUAUUGGCGAGAGACCGAUAGCGAACAAGUACCGUGAGGGAAAGAUGAAAAGCACUUUGGAAAGAGAGUUAAACAGUACGUGAAAUUGCUGAAAGGGAAACGCUUGAAGUCAGUCGCGUCGUCCGGAACUCAGCCUUGCUUUCGCUUGGUGCACUUUCCGGAUGACGGGUCAGCAUCGAUUUUGACCGUCGGAAAAGGGCUAGAGUAAUGUGGCACCUSCGGGUGUGUUAUAGACUCUGGUCGCAUACGGCGGUUGGGAUCGAGGAACGCAGCGCGCCGCANGGCAGGGGUUCGCCCACUUUCGCGCUUAGGAUGCUGGCAUAAUGGCUUUAAACGACCCGUCUUGAAACACGGACCAAGGAGUCUAACAUACCUGCGAGUGUUUGGGUGGAAAACCCGAGCGCGUAAUGAAAGUGAAAGUUGAGAUCCCUGUCGUGGGGAGCACCGACGCCCGGACCUGACGUUCUCUGACGGAUCCGCGGUAGAGCAUGUAUGUUGGGACCCGAAAGAUGGUGAACUAUGCCUGAAUAGGGUGAAGCCAGAGGAAACUCUGGUGGAGGCUCGUAGCGAUUCUGACGUGCAAAUCGAUCGUCAAAUUUGGGUAUAGGGGCGAAAGACUAAUCGAACCAUCUAGUANCUGGUUCCUGCNNNNNUUUCCCUCAGGAUAGCAGAAACUCAUUAUCAGAUUUAUGUGGUAAAGCGAAUGAUUANAGGCCUUGGGGUUGAAACAACCUUAACCUAUUCUCAAACUUU